RNAcentral lists this unclassified non-coding RNA (193 nucleotides) under uncultured Rhizophydiales. RNAcentral's name for it is "sequence contains ITS2". Lineage: Eukaryota; Fungi; Chytridiomycota; Chytridiomycetes; Rhizophydiales. The record is from RNAcentral.
GUAUCUUUUCCCCAGUAUCUCUGGUGUUGGGGGAGAUUUGGGGCAUCUCGCUCGAGUGCCCUUAAAGCUAUAGCUUGACACUGAUCGAGUGCUAGAGCGUAUGUAUUUGAAGCUCUCUGAGUACCUGUACGAAACUCUGGCGCAAGCUCGCUCUGGGCCAAGUCCACCACGGAGGUUUGAAAAAGAACCCGAA